UGAGUGUGAGAGGUAGGUAGCCUUGGGGCUUGGGGUCAUGUGAACAAGAAGAAAGAGAAGCUGCAAACAGCAAUGGGCUCCAGCACCCCCCAAGUGAUUUCCAUCCAUCCAAGUGAUGUUGGCCACCCUGGUGACAUGUAGAGAUAUGGCUAGACCCACCCUCCA
Panthera pardus (leopard) is the source of this 165-nucleotide unclassified non-coding RNA. The record is from Ensembl. NCBI's taxonomy places the organism in Eukaryota, Metazoa, Chordata, Mammalia, Carnivora, Felidae.